AACGUACGCUGGCGGCACGCCUAACACAUGCAAGUCGAACGAAGUAGCAAUACUUAGUGGCAGACGGGUGAGUAACAUGUAGGUAUCUGCCCUUGGCUGAAAAAUUAACACGAGGAAACUUGUGCUAAUACCGGAUAAGUCUUUACGGAGAAAGCUUUAUGCACCAUUGGAUGAGCCUGCACUUGAUUAGUUUGUUGGUGGGGUAAUGGCCUACCAAGACUGUGAUCAAUAGCUGAUUUGAGAGGAUGAUCAGCCACAUUGGGACUGAGACACGGCCCAAACUCCUACGGGAGGCAGCAGUGGGGAAUCUUGCACAAUGGAGGAAACUCUGAUGCAGCGAUGCCGCGUGAGUGAAGAAGGCCCUUGGGUUGUAAAGCUCUUUCGUCGGGGAAGAAAAUGACUGUACCCGAAUAAGAAGGUCCGGCUAACUUCGUG
This 435-nucleotide ribosomal RNA is filed under the name uncultured bacterium. RNAcentral describes it as "bacterial SSU rRNA". It matches the Rfam family "Bacterial small subunit ribosomal RNA", at positions 29 to 507 of the family's 1533-position model. The record is from RNAcentral.